This is a non-coding RNA of Brachypodium distachyon (stiff brome), 125 nucleotides long. The record is from Rfam. NCBI's taxonomy places the organism in Eukaryota, Viridiplantae, Streptophyta, Magnoliopsida, Poales, Poaceae.
UGAGUACUCCCUUCGUUCCAUAAUUCUUGUCUCAAAUUUGUCCAAAAAUGGAUGUAUCUAUUUCUAAAAAACAUCUAAAUACAUGUAAUAUUUUGACAAAAAUUAUGAAACGGAGGGAGUAGUAU